ACUUUCAACAACGGAUCUCUUGGCUCUCGCAUCGAUGAAGAACGUAGCGAAGUGCGAUAAGUAAUGAGAAUUGCAGAAUACGUGAAUCAUCGAAUCUUUGAACGCAAAUUGCACUUUCUGGUAUUCCGGAGAGUAUGCCUGUUUGGGGUCAGU
RNAcentral lists this ribosomal RNA (153 nucleotides) under uncultured Glomus. RNAcentral describes it as "5.8S ribosomal RNA". It matches the Rfam family "5.8S ribosomal RNA". From Rfam's summary of the family: 5.8S ribosomal RNA (5.8S rRNA) is a component of the large subunit of the eukaryotic ribosome. It is transcribed by RNA polymerase I as part of the 45S precursor that also contains 18S and 28S rRNA. The record is from RNAcentral. Lineage: Eukaryota; Fungi; Glomeromycota; Glomeromycetes; Glomerales; Glomeraceae.